UGAGUUCGAGGCCAGCCUGGU
This 21-nucleotide non-coding RNA is filed under the name Mus musculus (house mouse). The record is from RNAcentral. Lineage: Eukaryota; Metazoa; Chordata; Mammalia; Rodentia; Muridae.